RNAcentral lists this unclassified non-coding RNA (204 nucleotides) under Hevea brasiliensis (rubber tree). Lineage: Eukaryota; Viridiplantae; Streptophyta; Magnoliopsida; Malpighiales; Euphorbiaceae. The record is from RNAcentral.
UUUUGAUUGCCUGGGCUUCAUCCAGCACCAUGUAUUGCCAUUUAACACGUCUAAAGUAUUUCUCGUCAGACACUAGUAGCUGAUAACUGGUAAUGAGAAUGUGGAAUCCAGCAUCCCGACGAUAAAGACGUUUUGGGUUAAUGUUCUUUCGAAGCACCACUCGUUCUUGUAAACCUCCCCAAUAUGGAAGAGUUUUUAGAUCAG